Molecule: ribosomal RNA, 465 nt
Filed under: uncultured bacterium
Lineage: Bacteria
Description: partial 16S ribosomal RNA
Rfam family: Bacterial small subunit ribosomal RNA
Source: RNAcentral
CCUACGGGUGGCAGCAGUGAGGAAUAUUGCGCAAUGGGCGAAAGCCUGACGCAGCGACGCCGCGUGAGGGAUGAAGGUCUUCGGAUCGUAAACCUCUGUCAGCAGGGAGGAACGGUCACUGUGCUAAUCAGCAGUGAAUUGACGGUACCUGCAAAGGAAGCACCGGCUAACUCCGUGCCAGCAGCCGCGGUAAUACGGAGGGUGCGAGCGUUAAUCGGAAUUACUGGGCGUAAAGCGCUCGUAGGCGGUAUGUCAAGUCAAGGGUGAAAUCCCCGCGCUCAACGUGGGAACUGCCUGUGAAACUGGCAAGCUGGAGUUUGUGAGAGGAUAGUGGAAUUCCAGGUGUAGGAGUGAAAUGCGUAGAGAUCUGGAGGAACAUCAGUGGCGAAGGCGACUAUCUGGCAGAUAACUGACGCUGAGGAGCGAAAGCGUGGGUAGCAAACAGGAUUAGAUACCCCAGUAGUC